GACGAACGCUGGCGGCGUGCCUAAUACAUGCCAGUAGAACGCACAGUUUAUACCGUAGCUUGCUACACCAUAGACUGUGAGUUGCGAACGGGUGAGUAACGCGUAGGUAACCUGCCUGGUAGCGGGGGAUAACUAUUGGAAACGAUAGCUAAUACCGCAUAAUAUUGAUUAUUGCAUGAUAAUUGAUUGAAAGAUGCUAUUGCAUCACUACCAGAUGGACCUGCGUUGUAUUAGCUAGUAGGUGAGGUAACGGCUCACCUAGGCGACGAUACAUAGCCGACCUGAGAGGGUGAUCGGCCACACUGGGACUGAGACACGGCCCAGACUCCUACGGGAGGCAGCAGGAGGGAAUCUUCGGCAAUGGACGAAAGGCUGACCGAGCAACGCCGCGUGAGUGAAGAAGGGUUUCGGAUCGUAAAGCUCUGUUGUAAGAGAAGAACGGGGGUGAGAGUGGAAAGUUCACACUGUGACGGUAUCUUACCAGAAAGGGACGGCUAACUACGUG
This 505-nucleotide ribosomal RNA is filed under the name uncultured bacterium. RNAcentral describes it as "partial 16S ribosomal RNA". It matches the Rfam family "Bacterial small subunit ribosomal RNA", at positions 28 to 507 of the family's 1533-position model. The record is from RNAcentral.